CAGAAUCAGUGGGGAAAGGAAACUCAGUUGAGCUUGGCUCUAGUGUAGCACAGUGAAGAGACAUGAGGGAUGGAGGGAAAGAACCUCUCCUGAUUUUUCUUUUCCAUUUUCCCAACAAGGGGAUGUUGGCGGGGGGGGGGCAGUCAGAUGGGGCAGUACACCUGUCAAACCAUAACAAAGGUGCCCUGAGGGAAGCUCAGGGAGGACAGAAACUCCCAUGGAGCAGAAGGGCAAAAUUCAGACCAUGAGGGUGGGCCCUUCUGACUUCUAGAGGGUUUAAGCCAGAGAUGUCAGAAAAGUUACCACAGGAGUAUCUGGCUUGCAACAGCUAAGCAUUCAGCAUGACAUCGCUUUCUGAUCCUUUGUCAGCUCUUCCUAUCAGCGUGAAGUGGAAUUUACCAAACAGUGGAUUGUUCACCCCCAAUAGGGAAUAUGAGCUGGGUUUAGAUGGACACAGGUUAGUAUGACCCUACUGAUGUGAUGUCGCAAUAGUAAUCCUGCUCUGUGUGAAGGGCAUUGCGAACUCAGGCACUUGGUGUACGUGCUUGGCAGGAGAGUCAAGGGGGCGAUGCUACCAUCUGGGGGAUUAUGACUAAGUGCCUCUGUCAGAAUCCCCCUUAAAUGUAACAAUACAGCAGCAGGGUCUCGAUUGGCCCUGGAUAGCCAGCUGCCCCCUCUGGGGAGUAGAGCCAGUGCGAAGAGUGGUGUCAGGAUUGGGGCAUAGACAGAAGGAAGCUGCCUCUCUCCUGUAGCACACCAUGUGUUCAUGGGGAACCUGCUGCUAAAUCACUCACAGGCAUUGUGGUUCUGGGCCAGGGCUUCGUAUGUAGCAGCAGCUACCUCACUGACCUCUCUUGAAAUUCAUCCCUUGACCCAAGCUUU
RNAcentral lists this non-coding RNA (882 nucleotides) under Chelonia mydas (Green sea turtle). RNAcentral's name for it is "Eukaryotic large subunit ribosomal RNA". It matches the Rfam family "Eukaryotic large subunit ribosomal RNA", at positions 2389 to 3399 of the family's 3401-position model. The record is from Rfam by way of RNAcentral. Lineage: Eukaryota; Metazoa; Chordata; Testudines; Cheloniidae.